RNAcentral lists this transfer RNA (82 nucleotides) under Echinostoma caproni. It matches the Rfam family "tRNA". Rfam says of the family: Transfer RNA (tRNA) molecules are approximately 80 nucleotides in length. Their secondary structure includes four short double-helical elements and three loops (D, anti-codon, and T loops). Lineage: Eukaryota; Metazoa; Platyhelminthes; Trematoda; Plagiorchiida; Echinostomatidae. The record is from Rfam by way of RNAcentral.
GGCCUCGUAGCUCAGCUGGUAGAGCAUGCGCGUACAAAGCGUAGGCGGUGUCCAUGCAUGGGUUCGAAUCCCACCGAGGCUA